Molecule: ribosomal RNA, 253 nt
Filed under: uncultured bacterium
Lineage: Bacteria
Description: partial 16S ribosomal RNA
Rfam family: Bacterial small subunit ribosomal RNA
Source: RNAcentral
UACAGAGGUCUCAAGCGUUGUUCGGAUUCAUUGGGCGUAAAGGGUGCGUAGGCAGCUUAGCAAGUCGGGUGUGAAAGCCCUGGGCUCAACCUAGGAAGUGCACUCGAAACUGCUGAGCUGGAGUCCUGGAGAGGAAGGCGGAAUUCUCGGUGUAGAGGUGAAAUUCGUAGAUAUCGAGAGGAACACCGGUGGCGAAGGCGGCCUUCUGGACAGUGACUGACGCUGAGACGCGAAAGCGUGGGGAGCAAACAGG